Molecule: ribosomal RNA, 468 nt
Filed under: uncultured bacterium
Lineage: Bacteria
Description: partial 16S ribosomal RNA
Rfam family: Bacterial small subunit ribosomal RNA
Source: RNAcentral
GACGAACGCUGGCGGCGUGCUUAACACAUGCAAGUCGAACGGAAAGGCCCUGCUUUUGUGGGGUGCUCGAGUGGCGAACGGGUGAGUAACACGUGAGUAACCUGCCCUUGACUUUGGGAUAACUUCAGGAAACUGGGGCUAAUACCGGAUAGGAGCUCCUGCUGCAUGGUGGGGGUUGGAAAGUUUCGGCGGUUGGGGAUGGACUCGCGGCUUAUCAGCUUGUUGGUGGGGUAGUGGCUUACCAAGGCUUUGACGGGUAGCCGGCCUGAGAGGGUGACCGGCCACAUUGGGACUGAGAUACGGCCCAGACUCCUACGGGAGGCAGCAGUGGGGAAUAUUGCACAAUGGGCGGAAGCCUGAUGCAGCAACGCCGCGUGCGGGAUGACGGCCUUUGGGUUGUAAAACGCUUUCGCCUGUGACGAAGCGUGAGUGACGGUAAUGGGUAAAGAAGCACCGGCUAACUACGUG